RNAcentral lists this ribosomal RNA (484 nucleotides) under uncultured bacterium. RNAcentral's name for it is "partial 16S ribosomal RNA". It matches the Rfam family "Bacterial small subunit ribosomal RNA", at positions 30 to 507 of the family's 1533-position model. The record is from RNAcentral.
AUUGAACGCUGGCGGCAGGCCUAACACAUGCAGGUCGAGCGGAUGAAGGGAGCUUGCUCCUGGAUUCAGCGGCGGACGGGUGAGUAAUGCCUAGGAAUCUGCCUGGUAGUGGGGGAUAACGUCCGGAAACGGGCGCUAAUACCGCAUACGUCCUGAGGGAGAAAGUGGGGGAUCUUCGGACCUCACGCUAUCAGAUGAGCCUAGGUCGGAUUAGCUAGUUGGUGGGGUAAAGGCCUACCAAGGCGACGAUCCGUAACUGGUCUGAGAGGAUGAUCAGUCACACUGGAACUGAGACACGGUCCAGACUCCUACGGGAGGCAGCAGUGGGGAAUAUUGGACAAUGGGCGAAAGCCUGAUCCAGCCAUGCCGCGUGUGUGAAGAAGGUCUUCGGAUUGUAAAGCACUUUAAGUUGGGAGGAAGGGCAGUAAGUUAGUACCUUGCUGUUUUGACGUUACCAACAGAAUAAGCACCGGCUAACUUCGUG